UGGGGAAUAUUGCACAAUGGGCGCAAGCCUGAUGCAGCCAUGCCGCGUGUAUGAAGAAGGCCUUCGGGUUGUAAAGUACUUUCAGCGAGGAGGAAGGCGUUGUGGUUAAUAACCGCAACGAUUGACGUUACUCGCAGAAGAAGCACCGGCUAACUCCGUGCCAGCAGCCGCGGUAAUACGGCGGGUGCAAGCGUUAAUCGGAAUUACUGGGCGUAAAGCGCACGCAGGCGGUCUGUCAAGUCGGAUGUGAAAUCCCCGGGCUCAACCUGGGAACUGCAUCCGAAACUGGCAGGCUAGAGUCUUGUAGAGGGGGGUAGAAUUCCAGGUGUAGCGGUGAAAUGCGUAGAGAUCUGGAGGAAUACCGGUGGCGAAGGCGGCCCCCUGGACAAAGACUGACGCUCAGGUGCGAAAGCGUGGGGAGCAAACA
RNAcentral lists this ribosomal RNA (427 nucleotides) under uncultured bacterium. Its description in RNAcentral is "partial 16S ribosomal RNA". It matches the Rfam family "Bacterial small subunit ribosomal RNA", at positions 355 to 774 of the family's 1533-position model. The record is from RNAcentral.